CAUAGCUUUUAAAAUAAUUAAAAGUGCAACCUGCCCAUUGAUUUAUUAAUAAAAAUAAUAAAAAAUUGAAAAUAAAUUUAAAGGACGCGGUACCUUGACCGUGAUAAUGUAGCAUAAUCACUCGCCAUUUAAUUAAUGGAUAGUAUGAAUGGUUAAACGAAUAUAACACUGUCUCAAAUAAAAAAUCUAUAAAAUUGAAAUAAUAGUAAAGAUGCUAUUUAAAAUUGUAAGACGAGAAGACCCUAUAGAGCUUAACUACAUUUAUUUAAUUAAAUAAAUUGGUAGUUUAGUUGGGGCGACUACCUUUUAAAUAUAACAAAGGUAAUCAAAAUUAAUUAAUUAAUUUAUUGUUUAAUAUAUAAAUUUAACAAUUAUUAAAGUAGGAAAUAUUGACCCGUUAAUUAUAAAAAGUUUUAUUAACGAUUAAUAAAUAAAAGCUACCUUAGGGAUAACAGGAUAAUUCUGUUUUAGAGAUCUUAUCGAAUACAGAGUUUGUCACCUCUAUGUUGAAUUAAGAUAUCCUGAAAAAUGUAGAAAUUUUCAAAGGUAGGUCUGUUCGACCUUUAAAAUCUUACAUGA
RNAcentral lists this ribosomal RNA (579 nucleotides) under Pennaria disticha. RNAcentral's name for it is "partial large subunit ribosomal RNA". It matches the Rfam family "Bacterial large subunit ribosomal RNA", at positions 1814 to 2603 of the family's 2925-position model. The record is from RNAcentral. Lineage: Eukaryota; Metazoa; Cnidaria; Hydrozoa; Anthoathecata; Pennariidae.